This 348-nucleotide unclassified non-coding RNA is filed under the name soil metagenome. RNAcentral describes it as "partial contains 5.8S ribosomal RNA, internal transcribed spacer 2, and large subunit ribosomal RNA". The stretch from base 1 to 120 matches the Rfam family "5.8S ribosomal RNA", at positions 35 to 154 of the family's 154-position model. The record is from RNAcentral.
GAUGAAGAACGCAGCGAAAUGCGAUAAGUAAUGUGAAUUGCAGAAUUCAGUGAAUCAUCGAAUCUUUGAACGCACAUUGCGCCCUUUGGUAUUCCGAAGGGCAUGCCUGUUCGAGCGUCAUUAUCACCCCUCAAGCCCCGGCUUGGUGUUGGGCUCUCGGUGGUCGUCUCCGACCACCCGUCUCAAAGAUAGUGACGGCGUCCCAGAGGGAACCGGUACGAGGAGCUUUCACGAGCAUGUACGCGGGACGACUCUGCGGGCGACGGUCUUAUUUACUUUAUAUACAAGUGUUGACCUCGGAUCAGGUAGGAAUACCCGCUGAACUUAAGCAUAUCAAUAAGCGGAGGA